UGGGGAAUUUUGGACAAUGGGCGAAAGCCUGAUCCAGCAAUGCCGCGUGUGUGAAGAAGGCCUUCGGGUUGUAAAGCACUUUUGUCCGGAAAGAAAUGGCUCUGGUUAAUACCUGGGGUCGAUGACGGUACCGGAAGAAUAAGGACCGGCUAACUACGUGCCAGCAGCCGCGGUAAUACGUAGGGUCCAAGCGUUAAUCGGAAUUACUGGGCGUAAAGCGUGCGCAGGCGGUUGUGCAAGACCGAUGUGAAAUCCCCGAGCUUAACUUGGGAAUUGCAUUGGUGACUGCACGGCUAGAGUGUGUCAGAGGGGGGUUAGAAUUCCACGUGUAGCAGUGAAAUGCGUAGAGAUGUGGAGGAAUACCGAUGGCGAAGGCAGCCCCCUGGGAUAACACUGACGCUCAUGCACGAAAGCGUGGGGAGCAAACAGGAUUAGAUACCCUGGUAGUCCACGCCCUAAACGAUGUGCAACUAGGUUUGUUGGGGGGCAUUUCCAUUUUCCUUAAGUAACGUAGCUAACGCGUGAAGUUGGACCGCCUGGGGAGUACGGUCGCAAGAUU
This 559-nucleotide ribosomal RNA is filed under the name uncultured bacterium. Its description in RNAcentral is "partial 16S ribosomal RNA". It matches the Rfam family "Bacterial small subunit ribosomal RNA", at positions 355 to 895 of the family's 1533-position model. The record is from RNAcentral.